RNAcentral lists this ribosomal RNA (432 nucleotides) under uncultured bacterium. RNAcentral describes it as "bacterial SSU rRNA". It matches the Rfam family "Bacterial small subunit ribosomal RNA", at positions 960 to 1392 of the family's 1533-position model. The record is from RNAcentral.
CGCGAAGAACCUUACCUGGUCUUGACAUCCACGGAAGUUUUCAGAGAUGAGAAUGUGCCUUCGGGAACCGUGAGACAGGUGCUGCAUGGCUGUCGUCAGCUCGUGUUGUGAAAUGUUGGGUUAAGUCCCGCAACGAGCGCAACCCUUAUCCUUUGUUGCCAGCGGUCCGGCCGGGAACUCAAAGGAGACUGCCAGUGAUAGACUGGAGGAAGGUGGGGAUGACGUCAAGUCAUCAUGGCCCUUACGACCAGGGCUACACACGUGCUACAAUGGCGCAUACAAAGAGAAGCGACCUCGCGAGAGCAAGCGGACCUCAUAAAGUGCGUCGUAGUCCGGAUUGGAGUCUGCAACUCGACUCCAUGAAGCCGGAAUCGCUAGUAAUCGUGGAUCAGAAUGCCACGGUGAAUACGUUCCCGGGCCUUGUACACACCG